GUAUCUGUAUAGAUACUGUAUAGAGUAUCUGUAUAGAUAUGGUAUAGAGUAUCUGUAUAGAUACUGUAUAGAGUAUCUGUACAGAGUAUCUGUAUAGAUACUAUAUAGAGUAUCUGUAUAGAGACUGUAUAGAGUAUCUGUAUAGAGACUGUAUAGAGUAUCUGUAUAGAUACUGUAUAGAGUAUCUGUACAGAGUAUCCGUAUAGAGUAUCUGUAUAGAUACUGUAUAGAGUAUCUGUAUAGAUCUACCAGCAGUUGUUUUUGAAGGCUGAGGGAGAACACUGUUAUACAAUUUGGUUAAAGUAUUUCCAAACAGGGAAAUGCAUAAUCAUGUGUGGAGUAGUGUCUUCGAUGUAGCCUAACUAUACUGGAGUAGUGUCCUCGAUGUAGCCUAACUAUGCUGGAGUAGUGUCUUCGAUGUAGCCUAACUAUACUGGAGUAGUGUCCUCGAUGUAGCCUAACUAUGCUGUAGUAGUGUCCUCGAUGUAGCCUAACUAUACUGGAGUAGUGUCCUCGAUGUAGCCUAACUAUGCUGUAGUAGAAAUACAGUAACUGUCAUACAGGUGUGUGGAAAUACAGUAACUGUCAUAUAGGUGUGUGGAAAUACAGUAACUGUCAUACAGGUGUGUGGAAAUACAGUAACUGUCAUAUAGGUGUGUGGAAAUACAGUAACUGUCAUACAGGUGUGUGGAAAUACAGUAACUGUC
This is a long non-coding RNA of Oncorhynchus tshawytscha (Chinook salmon), 707 nucleotides long. NCBI's taxonomy places the organism in Eukaryota, Metazoa, Chordata, Actinopteri, Salmoniformes, Salmonidae. The record is from Ensembl.